This 470-nucleotide ribosomal RNA is filed under the name uncultured bacterium. RNAcentral describes it as "bacterial SSU rRNA". It matches the Rfam family "Bacterial small subunit ribosomal RNA", at positions 335 to 799 of the family's 1533-position model. The record is from RNAcentral.
ACUCCUACGCGAGGCAGCAGUGGGGAAUAUUGCACAAUGGCGCAAGCCUGAUGCAGCCAUGCCGCGUGUGUGAAGAAGGCCUUCGGUUGUAAAGCACUUUCAGUCGUGAGGAAGGUAGUGUAGUUAAUAGCUGCAUUAUUUGACGUUAGCGACAGAAGAAGCACCGGCUAACUCCGUGCCAGCAGCCGCGGUAAUACGGAGGGUGCGAGCGUUAAUCGGAAUUACUGGGCGUAAAGCGCAUGCAGGUGGUUUGUUAAGUCAGAUGUGAAAGCCCGGGGCUCAACCUCGGAAUAGCAUUUGAAACUGGCAGACUAGAGUACUGUAGAGGGGGUAGAAUUUCAGGUGUAGCGGUGAAAUGCGUAGAGAUCUGAAGGAAUACCGGUGGCGAAGGCGGCCCCCUGGACAGAUACUGACACUCAGAUGCGAAAGCGUGGGGAGCAAACAGGAUUAGAUACCCUGGUAGGAUAGCG